GCUGAACAUGGGAGCUGCUUAACAACCAGGUCCAAAAGUGGGAGCAUUCUCAAAGUAACACUUUCCUCCCUGACUUACACAGUGAUAGGACAGAAAUACAAUGGCUGUCAAAGAAGAAAACUCUACAUUACUGUCACCUAGAAAGAUAAACUCUACAGUUGGAAAUUCUGUCCAAUUUCUUCCAUGUGGCAGAUGCUGUGAUGAGCCACCGAGAUCCUCCUUCAGGAAGGAAGACUUAUUCCUCCAGAUGCUAAGAGUGCUACUGGAGGAUGGCUCUCAGCUGUGAGCCCUCAGCUGAAGACAGUUGUCUCACCUUGAUCAGGCCUCCUUCCAGAAGUAGCCUGCCUUUGAUGACAAACUGAUUGGGCUGAGGGGAACACUAUAAAGGCCAGUUCUCAGUCCCUAUUUGAUAUGACUCUCAAGAUUAAAGCUAGUGCAGUGCUCCCCAUGGGGACAGGGGAAGGCUUCUUUGGGACUGGUUUGCAGAUCACAUUCCCCAUCUGCCCAGCUCUGCUUCUCCCCCAACCCCUCCAUGGUCCAGGAGCUCUCCCAAAUAAAUGAUCUGCCGACUAACCUCAGUCCAGUUAGCUUUCUGGAAAGCCCAACCUGCAACAUUUACUUAUAAAAAAGUAAAAUUGUUGGGUUUUGGAUGAGAUCCAUUACAUCUGAUUAUUAAUUUGGCAGGAAUCAACAUUUUUACUAUAAUAUAUUGUCUUCCCACUGUAUAUUUUUCUAUCUGUUUCAUUUUUUCUUAUAAUCUCAAAAACAGUUUGAAGUAUUCUUCACAUAGGAUCUGGAGUUUCUUUUUAAGACUAUUCCCAAGUAUUUUUCAUUUGGCAUUGAUAUUAUUAGUGAGAUCUAGUACUUUUUCCUCCCUAUGGUGCAAAAUAAAUUUACAAUCCCAGACUAUCUUGUAGAAGAAAUUACAUUAUUUUGUGUGGCUUCAAAGUCCAGAAGUGGGAUGAUGGAAACAAAUUACACAAAGACACCUUUUAGUUCACUAUAUGCACAACAUUUCCAAGAACUAGGGUGGUCCACUUACUCCAUCUCUGAGGAAGACAUGAAAAAGACUACCUUCAGGGAUUGAGAGUCCCAUGACCAUGGAAGCACAUAAGAAGGAAUCAAAUAAUUAUUUCAGAGAUGUGAUAGACUAGACUCAUGUGUAUACUUGGACUAGAUAAUCUGAAUCCAAGAUUCAGCAACCAGGCUGCUUGAGGAAGCCUGACUUUACAUCAUCCACAUUUCUCCCUCUCUGUUCUACUGGACAGAGCCUUACAAACCACCCUUCCUGUUCUUCUGGCUCUGAAUCAUGUUUUUAUCUGAGGUCUUGCUAAAGCAAGAAGAAUAUGUUUAAGAGUUAUCUUAUCACAGAAACAUAUCUAAGUAGAGAAGUAGGAUUGAUUCAAGAAAUCUGUGACUACUUGAAAUGUGAAUUAAGCUUCAUCACUAGCUAUGAGGACCUGGAGUGAACUCAUAAAACAAAAACCAGAGAAAUAUAGUCUACAGAAAACAGGAACUGAAGAAUAUA
This 1528-nucleotide long non-coding RNA is filed under the name Homo sapiens (human). Its description in RNAcentral is "HSALNT0381181". The record is from RNAcentral. Lineage: Eukaryota; Metazoa; Chordata; Mammalia; Primates; Hominidae.